UACGGGGGGGGCAAGCGUUGUUCGGAAUUACUGGGCGUAAAGGGCGCGUAGGCGGUUUGCUAAGUUGGAUGUGAAAACUCUGGGCUUAACCCAGAGCCUGCAUCCAAAACUGGCAAACUUGAGUACUGGAGGGGAAAGCGGAAUUCCUGGUGUAGCGGUGAAAUGCGUAGAUAUCAGGAGGAACACCGGUGGCGAAGGCGGCUUUCUGGGCCUUACCUGACGCUGAGACGCGAAAGCGUGGGGAGCGAACCGG
RNAcentral lists this ribosomal RNA (253 nucleotides) under uncultured bacterium. RNAcentral's name for it is "partial 16S ribosomal RNA". It matches the Rfam family "Bacterial small subunit ribosomal RNA", at positions 524 to 776 of the family's 1533-position model. The record is from RNAcentral.